Molecule: non-coding RNA, 1109 nt
Organism: Parasteatoda tepidariorum (common house spider)
Lineage: Eukaryota; Metazoa; Arthropoda; Arachnida; Araneae; Theridiidae
Source: RefSeq, a predicted model, not a curated record
AUAGGGAUUGUGAUUCGACUCUACAAUUGUCUUGUAAUUUGCCAUCUAACAUAGAAGCAUUGAAUGUUGUACUACAUAUACCUGUGUCAUCUACUACUAGAAAGUAGGGAAGAGUUAUGACGUUAUUUGAACUGUAUUAUGAGUGUUGUAUAUUUUGUGGAUAUCUUUCUGCUUAGAAGGACAACAAAUAGGAAACAGCCUGACAAAGUUUGAUAUGUUUUGCUAAUUGCAACUUCGGCUACUAGCCUCAACUAUCUGAUGUUUUAUCGAGUUGAUAUUGAUGAUUCUUUAAAAUUUCUAUAUGAGCAGUUGGAUAGCAAGGUCUCUGUUGUACGUAGAGAAGGCGAUGAGCUGUUUUUGAAAGAAAAAGUGCCACCUCUUUCACUAGAACUUGUGAACAAUUUAUCCCUUGACUCAUUAAUAUACAGUCUUGUGUGUAUUCGAGAUGAGCUUAUGGUUACCACUCUAGAUGGUCAUUUUUGGCGGGUAAGAUGGGAUGCCAAAUUAGAUGAGGAUUACACUCUAAUUUUAUGCAAUAUCUCAUUUCGCUUAGAUCAGCUGCAAUCUAGAGGAUCCAAAUUUCAUGAUGCACAAAUCCAUAUAAAAAAUAUGGAAUAUUCUCCCAUCAUGGGAGGGUUUUGAGUUGUACUAUCAAAUGGUCAAGCCUGUUUUAUUACUGCUACUACAUUGAAGUUUGAGCCUCAUCAAGUUUUUGGAAUCUUUGCUAAUGAUGUUCAGAAUGCUACUUGUACAGCUGUGAAUCAUAGGUUUCGAGUCAUUGCUUAUGGGCAAACAAAUGCUUAAGGAAUCAUUUUCUGCAUUGACGAUUUAACAGGUGCUCUACAAUCCACACAUCAAUUAGUAUUAUCCAGUAAAGACUUUCCUGAUGUCAAAACAGCUGCAGGAGCCGUAUUAAAUUUGAAAUGGACAACUGAUGGAGGAGCUCUUGCUAUGACAUGGGAAAAAGGUCUGCUGAUGUGAUGAAAAAUUUUUCCCUUCUAAUAUCUAUGGGAAUAAUUCAAAAGUGCAAACUGCAUGAAAUGAUACUCAUGAAAAGCUUCUUACCAGUGAGUCAUAAAAUAAUUGUGAAUUCAGACGUAAUCAAAGGU